Molecule: long non-coding RNA, 1064 nt
Organism: Antechinus flavipes (yellow-footed antechinus)
Lineage: Eukaryota; Metazoa; Chordata; Mammalia; Dasyuromorphia; Dasyuridae
Exons: 3
Source: RefSeq, a predicted model, not a curated record
UCACUUUCCUCAGAUAGCUGGUGUUUAAUGUUUCACAUCAAAUCCUGAAGAAGCAUCGAGGUUUUCCUUGUACAAAGUUCCUGGACAUGCUGAAGUAGCACAGCCUGUCCUUUGUCAUGUUGGCUGAAAAGAAACCUGCUUUCCUGGGGAAUAAAAACGGCUCCAGUGUGGCUCCUUUCUCGGACCUUAGAUGAGGAAAAUGGAAUUCUGAGAAGUUAAGUGAAUUCUUCACUCAUACAGCUACUAAAUAUCUGAGAGGUUGGCUAUAAGAACAACUGAACACUGCAGAACCGACAUGUUGAAAUUGUAGGUGCUGAAGAAUACUUUUGAAAGCCCUUUGGCCAACAAAGAGAUCAAAUCAGUCAAUACUUAAAGAAAUUAAUUCAGUCUAUUCACUGGAAGAUCAAAUACUGAAGCUGAAACUUAAGUACUUUAGCCAUAUAAUGAGAAGUUGGGUUCAUUGGAAAAGACUCUGAUAUUGGGAAAGAUCAAAGGCAAAAGGAGAAGAGGAUAGUGUCAUGGAAGCAAUGAACAUGAGCUUGGAUAAACUUUAAGAGGUAAUGGAGGAUAGAAGGACCUGACAUGCUAUGCUCCAAGGGAUCAUGAAGACUCAGCCACAUGUAAACAACCAAAUAACAAAUAUGAAUGUAAUAAAAUGCAAUUGUUCCAUAAUGAAUAUUAGGAAUUGGGCACAUAAGGAAAUUGUAUGAAAUGAUGCAGAGGAAAGAAAACAAAACCAGGAAAACAAGCUAUUGAAUGAUCCCCAAAUUAUAAAUGCUCUUAAGAUAUCUUAAUUUAACAUCAAUUCACACACUAAAAAAAGACUGCAGAGAUUUGAUUGUAAAACAUACUUUAAUCUCUCAAAAGAGUUAUAGAAUAUAAGAGGUGCCAAACAUAUUGCUGUCAGGUAUAGUUUUGUCUCAGUUUUUAUUAGCUAUAUUUCUCUAUUAUAUCAGAAAAUGCCUAGAGUAUAAAAGACAAAAGCCAUCAACAAAACUUUCAACAUAUCGUUUGACAGCUAUUAUGAACUUUUUCUUGUAGAUCAUGGACUUACUUUGGCAGUA